GCGAGGAUGGCGGAAUGGCAGACGCACCAGACUUAGGAUCUGGCGCCGCAAGGUGUGAGGGUUCAAGUCCCUCUCCUCGCA
This 81-nucleotide transfer RNA is filed under the name Myxococcales bacterium. Its description in RNAcentral is "tRNA-Leu". It matches the Rfam family "tRNA". Rfam says of the family: Transfer RNA (tRNA) molecules are approximately 80 nucleotides in length. Their secondary structure includes four short double-helical elements and three loops (D, anti-codon, and T loops). Lineage: Bacteria; Pseudomonadati; Myxococcota; Myxococcia; Myxococcales. The record is from RNAcentral.